GACGAACGCUGGCGGCGUGCUUAACACAUGCAAGUCGAACGGAAAGGCCCCCUUGUGGGGUACUCGAGUGGCGAACGGGUGAGUAACACGUGAGUAACCUACCCUUGACUUUGGGAUAACUUCAGGAAACUGGGGCUAAUACCGGAUAGGAGCUCCUGCUGCAUGGUGGGGGUUGGAAAGUUUCGGCGGUUGGGGAUGGACUCGCGGCUUAUCAGCUUGUUGGUGGGGUAGCGGCUCACCAAGGCUUUGACGGGUAGCCGGCCUGAGAGGGUGACCGGCCACAUUGGGACUGAGAUACGGCCCAGACUCCUACGGGAGGCAGCAGUGGGGAAUAUUGCACAAUGGGCGGAAGCCUGAUGCAGCAACGCCGCGUGCGGGAUGACGGCCUUCGGGUUGUAAACCGCUUUCGCCUGUGACGAAGCGUGAGUGACGGUAAUGGGUAAAGAAGCACCGGCUAACUACGUG
This 465-nucleotide ribosomal RNA is filed under the name uncultured bacterium. Its description in RNAcentral is "partial 16S ribosomal RNA". It matches the Rfam family "Bacterial small subunit ribosomal RNA", at positions 28 to 507 of the family's 1533-position model. The record is from RNAcentral.